GACGAACGCUGGCGGCGUGCCUAAUACAUGCAAGUCGAGCGCAGGAAGCUGACGGAACUCUUCGGAGGGAAGGCAGUGGAAUGAGCGGCGGACGGGUGAGUAACACGUAAGGAACCUGCCCAAGGAUUGGGAUAACUCCGAGAAAUCGGAGCUAAUACCGGAUAGUUCAACGGACCGCAUGGUCCGCUGAUGAAAGGCGCUCCGGCGUCACCUUGAGAUGGCCUUGCGGUGCAUUAGCUAGUUGGUGGGGUAACGGCCCACCAAGGCGACGAUGCAUGGCGGGCCUGGGAGGGUGAUCGGCCGCACUGGGACUGAGACACGGCCCAGACUCCUACGGGAGGCAGCAGUAGGGAAUCUUCAACAAUGGACGAAAGUCUGAUGGAGCAACGCCGCGUGAGUGAUGAAGGUUUUUGGAUCGUAAAACUCUGUUGUAAGGGAAGAACACGUACGAGAGGAAAUGCUCGUACCUUGACGGUACCUUACGAGAAAGCCACGGCUAACUACGUGCCAGCCGCCGCGGUAA
Molecule: ribosomal RNA, 523 nt
Filed under: uncultured bacterium
Lineage: Bacteria
Description: partial 16S ribosomal RNA
Rfam family: Bacterial small subunit ribosomal RNA
Source: RNAcentral